RNAcentral lists this ribosomal RNA (239 nucleotides) under uncultured bacterium. Its description in RNAcentral is "partial 16S ribosomal RNA". It matches the Rfam family "Bacterial small subunit ribosomal RNA", at positions 102 to 334 of the family's 1533-position model. The record is from RNAcentral.
CCGGCCACGGGUGGGUAACACGUAUCCAACCUGCCGUCUACUCUUGGCCAGCCUUCUGAAGGAAGAUUAAUCCAGGAUGGCAUCAUGAGUUCACAUGUCCGCAUGAUUAAAGGUAUUUUCCGGUAGACGAUGGGGAUGCGUUCCAUUAGAUAGUAGGCGGGGUAACGGCCCACCUAGUCAACGAUGGAUAGGGGUUCUGAGAGGAAGGUCCCCCACAUUGGAACUGAGACACGGUCCAA